This 301-nucleotide ribosomal RNA is filed under the name uncultured bacterium. RNAcentral describes it as "partial 16S ribosomal RNA". It matches the Rfam family "Bacterial small subunit ribosomal RNA", at positions 509 to 807 of the family's 1533-position model. The record is from RNAcentral.
CAGUAGCCGCGGGAAUACAGAGGUCCCGAGCGUUGUUCGGAUUCACUGGGCGUAAAGGGUGUGUAGGAGGUUUGGUAAGUCAGGUGUGAAAUCCCGCAGCUUAACUGCGGAACUGCAUUCGAUACUGUUCAACUAGAGGAUCGGAGGGGGAAGCGGAAUUCUUGGUGUAGCGGUGAAAUGCGUAGAUAUCAAGAGGAACACCGGUGGCGAAGGCGGCUUCCUGGAAGAUACCUGACUCUGAAACACGAAAGCCAGGGGAGCGAAUGGGAUUAGAUACCCCGGUAGUCCCUGUCUCUUAUAC